This 510-nucleotide long non-coding RNA is filed under the name Equus caballus (horse). RNAcentral describes it as "lncRNA (ENSECAG00000054338.1)". The record is from RNAcentral. Lineage: Eukaryota; Metazoa; Chordata; Mammalia; Perissodactyla; Equidae.
UUGUACUCACAGACCUACAGUGACUGUCGAUGAAGGUGUGUGGCCACCGAGAAGACAUGCUAUUAGGUGAGAAAACUGAGGCUCACAGGACACGUGACCUUUGGAUUUCAAAUAGGCAGUGAGAGUUUUCAUGGAAAGUAGGUGAAAAGUUCUGUAGGGGCCAGCCAGGUGGCGCAGCAGUUAAGUUCGCACGUUUCCCUUUGGUGGCCCGGGUUUCGCUGGAUCGGAUCCCAUGUGCGGACAUGGCACCGCUUGGCAUUCCAUGCUGUGCCUUAAUUAAGCAGGCUGUCACACUGGAAAGGCCUAUGUGACAAGGAACUGAGGGUGGCCUCGGGACAUCUGCCAACUAGGAAAUGGAAAUGAGGCCUUUAGUCUAACAGUCCUCAAGAAAGUGAAUCCUGCCAACAACAAUAUGAAUGAGCUUAGAAGCUGCUUCUUCCCCACACGAUCCUUCAGAUGAGAUGCAGACUCUAGGCCAAUACACCUUGACUGCACUCUUGUGAGAGACUU